Lycium ferocissimum is the source of this 478-nucleotide long non-coding RNA. RefSeq lists it as uncharacterized. The record is from RefSeq and is a predicted model, not a curated record. The transcript is spliced from 2 exons. NCBI's taxonomy places the organism in Eukaryota, Viridiplantae, Streptophyta, Magnoliopsida, Solanales, Solanaceae.
UAUCCAUGAAAACAAUUGAAGGCUCUGGAUGAAGUGCGGAAAAUCAAACCAAAAAGAACACUUUUCACUGGCAUGAUGCAUCUCAUGGAUCAUGAAGUAGUAAAUGAAAUGCUACUGAAACUAAAGGAAACGGAAGGCAUCGAUGUGCAACUUAGCUAUGAUGGGCUUCGAGUACCAGUGAGCCUGCAGGCUUUCAGGUCUGACUCGAGAAACCUGGCUAUUCUUUCUGAAUAAAUGAAGAUCAUUCAGAAUUUUGUAGUAGCUUAAUGUCUCUUGUGAAUGUAGUCUAAUGUUGUAGACUUAGUGUAGACUAGUUUAAUGUUUUGUGGAUGUUUGUAAAGGUUGAAGUAGUUUAAUGUUGUGUUGAUGGUUGCGAAGGUUGAAGUAGCUUAAUGUCUCUUGUGAAUGUUUGAAUGACGUUUUGAUUCAACUUUGAAGUAGUUUCGAAUUGAAUUUGAUGUAUUGGUGGUUUUUAAUA